Molecule: ribosomal RNA, 391 nt
Filed under: uncultured bacterium
Lineage: Bacteria
Description: bacterial SSU rRNA
Rfam family: Bacterial small subunit ribosomal RNA
Source: RNAcentral
GACGAACGCUGGCGGCGUGCUUAACACAUGCAAGUCGAGCGGUAAGGCCCUUUCGGGGGUACACGAGCGGCGAACGGGUGAGUAACACGUGGGUGACCUGCCCUCAGCUCUGGGAUAAGCCUGGGAAACCGGGUCUAAUACUGGAUAUGACUCCAUGACGCAUGUUGUGGGGUGGAAAGCCUUGUGCGGCUGAGGAUGGGCCCGCGGCCUAUCAGCCUGCUGGUGGGGUGAUGGCCUACCAAGGCGACGACGGGUAGCCGGCCUGAGAGGGCGACCGGCCACACUGGGACUGAGACACGGCCCAGACUCCUACGGGAGGCAGCAGUGGGGAAUCUUGCGCAAUGGGCGAAAGCCUGACGCAGCGACGCCGCGUGAGGGAUAACGGCCUCGG